This 82-nucleotide non-coding RNA is filed under the name unclassified sequences. RNAcentral describes it as "skipping-rope RNA". It matches the Rfam family "skipping-rope RNA". From Rfam's summary of the family: Firmicutes, Fusobacteria, AlphaProteobacteria, Spirochaetes. The record is from Rfam by way of RNAcentral.
AUAAAUUGACAAGCAGGAAAGGCACCCUGCGCUCCUGUUAUAAGGAACCUGAUAUGAUGGAUACGCCGCCCAUCCAAUUUUA